This 83-nucleotide transfer RNA is filed under the name Clavulina sp. RNAcentral describes it as "tRNA-Tyr". It matches the Rfam family "tRNA". Rfam says of the family: Transfer RNA (tRNA) molecules are approximately 80 nucleotides in length. Their secondary structure includes four short double-helical elements and three loops (D, anti-codon, and T loops). Further hydrogen bonds mediate the characteristic L-shaped molecular structure. tRNAs have two regions of fundamental functional importance: the anti-codon, which is responsible for specific mRNA codon recognition, and the 3' end, to which the tRNAs corresponding amino acid is attached (by aminoacyl-tRNA synthetases). tRNAs cope with the degeneracy of the genetic code in two manners: having more than one tRNA (with a specific anti-codon) for a particular amino acid; and 'wobble' base-pairing, i.e. permitting non-standard base-pairing at the 3rd anti-codon position. The record is from RNAcentral. Lineage: Eukaryota; Fungi; Basidiomycota; Agaricomycetes; Cantharellales; Hydnaceae.
AGGGUGAUGCCAGAAUGGUAAUAGGGGUUGUCUGUAAAACAAUUGUACUUCGUACGGGGAAGGUUCGAUUCCUUCUCACCCUA